This 199-nucleotide unclassified non-coding RNA is filed under the name soil metagenome. RNAcentral describes it as "partial internal transcribed spacer 1". The record is from RNAcentral.
ACAAAUUAAAAUAGAAGAUCUCUUCAAAAAAGAGUUUCUAUCUACCACAUUUUGUGAACCUUGUAUGUCUCUGGUGUGUGAAAUGUUCAGUUUCUAUCUUUGUGAAGAACUGUAUUACGCACACCAAUAUAACAUUUUAUAAACUUUUGUUUCAAAAACUUUAAAAGCCUAAAAAAGUAGAAAUAACAAAAUUAAAAAA